This 425-nucleotide ribosomal RNA is filed under the name uncultured bacterium. RNAcentral describes it as "partial 16S ribosomal RNA". It matches the Rfam family "Bacterial small subunit ribosomal RNA", at positions 354 to 796 of the family's 1533-position model. The record is from RNAcentral.
GUAGGGAAUCUUGCGCAAUGGGCGAAAGCCUGACGCAGCCAUGCCGCGUGAAUGAUGAAGGUCUUAGGAUUGUAAAAUUCUUUCACCGGGGACGAUAAUGACGGUACCCGGAGAAGAAGCCCCGGCUAACUUCGUGCCAGCAGCCGCGGUAAUACGAAGGGGGCUAGCGUUGCCCGGAAUUACUGGGCGUAAAGGGAGCGUAGGCGGAUAGUUUAGUCAGAGGUGAAAGCCCAGGGCUCAAACAUGGAAGUGCCUUUGAUACUGGCUAUCUUGAGUAUGGAAGAGGUAUGUGGAACUCCGAGUGUAGAGGUGAAAUUCGUAGAUAUUCGGAAGAACACCAGUGGCGAAGGCGACAUACUGGUCCAUUACUGACGCUGAGGCUCGAAAGCGUGGGGAGCAAACAGGAUUAGAAACCCUUGUAGUCC